GGAAAUUCCAGCCUUGAUAGAAGCUCAGCCGGGAGUUUGAGGUGACACAGAGCCGGUGGAGAAGGGUGAUCUCUGUGUCCUUUUGACUCCCCGGCAUUAAAAGUGCGGAACGCCGAGACUGCAGCCAUGACGACCCACGUGACCCUGGAAGAUGCCCUGUCCAACGUGGAUCUGCUGGAGGAGCUGCCCCUGCCCGACCAGCAGCCAUGCAUCGAGCCCCCACCCUCCUCCAUCAUGUACCAGGCGAACUUUGACACCAACUUCGAGGACAGAAAUGCAUUUGUCACCGGCAUCGCCAGGUACAUCGAGCAGGCGACAGUCCACUCG
Long non-coding RNA from Dipodomys ordii (Ord's kangaroo rat), 327 nucleotides. RefSeq lists it as uncharacterized. NCBI's taxonomy places the organism in Eukaryota, Metazoa, Chordata, Mammalia, Rodentia, Heteromyidae. The record is from RefSeq and is a predicted model, not a curated record. The transcript is spliced from 3 exons.